RNAcentral lists this long non-coding RNA (337 nucleotides) under Androctonus crassicauda. Lineage: Eukaryota; Metazoa; Arthropoda; Arachnida; Scorpiones; Buthidae. The record is from RNAcentral.
AAAAUAAUUGCAAAGAAAAAUGGGUUCUCAUAAAUGGAGUGCAUUAUGCAAUGAUUCACUUCAUUUUUGAUAAAUUUUUUUAAUCCUUUUUUUUAUCAGCAGCGAUUCGAAGCCAUCAUGACAUCACUCGCGCGCCGAACGGCGAACGUGUCGCGCUGCGCCAGCAGUCGAUGGGGUGGUGAUGUGACUGGGUGUGUGAAGAGUGUAGAGGCUUUGAACCCAUUUUUUUCGGGAAUGCUUGAGAGGUGCGUCGUAUUGCUUUACCAUGGUUUUGUGGGAGGGUUGUACUACAAAAUACGUAAAAAUCAGAGUGGGCCAUGGUUGGCACUCCCCUGGU